GACGAACCGAGCGAAAGUUGUUCGGAAUAACUGGGCUUAAAGGGUGCGUAGGCGGGCUGUCAAGUCUGGGGUGAAAUCCCGCGGCUCAACCGUGGAACUGCCUCAGAUACUGAUGGCCUCGAGGGAGGUAGGGGCAUGCGGAACUGUAGGUGGAGCGGUGAAAUGCGUUGAUAUCUACAGGAACUCCGGUGGCGAAAGCGGCGUGCUGGACCUCUUCUGACGCUGAGGCAAGAAAGCUAGGGGAGCAAACGGG
This 253-nucleotide ribosomal RNA is filed under the name uncultured bacterium. Its description in RNAcentral is "partial 16S ribosomal RNA". It matches the Rfam family "Bacterial small subunit ribosomal RNA", at positions 524 to 776 of the family's 1533-position model. The record is from RNAcentral.